Molecule: ribosomal RNA, 105 nt
Filed under: uncultured bacterium
Lineage: Bacteria
Description: partial 16S ribosomal RNA
Rfam family: Bacterial small subunit ribosomal RNA
Source: RNAcentral
CCCUUGUACACACCGCCCGUCACACCACGAAAGUUGGUAACACCCGAAGCCAGUGGCCUAACCGCAAGGAGGGAGCUGUCGAAGGUGGGAUCAGCGAUUGGGGUG